RNAcentral lists this ribosomal RNA (465 nucleotides) under Vreelandella stevensii. RNAcentral's name for it is "partial 16S ribosomal RNA". It matches the Rfam family "Bacterial small subunit ribosomal RNA", at positions 338 to 795 of the family's 1533-position model. Lineage: Bacteria; Pseudomonadati; Pseudomonadota; Gammaproteobacteria; Oceanospirillales; Halomonadaceae. The record is from RNAcentral.
CCUACGGGUGGCUGCAGUGGGGAAUAUUGGACAAUGGGCGAAAGCCUGAUCCAGCCAUGCCGCGUGUGUGAAGAAGGCCUUCGGGUUGUAAAGCACUUUCAGUGGGGAAGAAAGCCUUGGGGCUAAUACCCUCGAGGAAGGACAUCACCCACAGAAGAAGCACCGGCUAACUCCGUGCCAGCAGCCGCGGUAAUACGGAGGGUGCGAGCGUUAAUCGGAAUUACUGGGCGUAAAGCGCGCGUAGGCGGUCUGAUAAGCCGGUUGUGAAAGCCCCGGGCUCAACCUGGGAACGGCAUCCGGAACUGGCAGGCUAGAGUGCAGGAGAGGAAGGUAGAAUUCCCGGUGUAGCGGUGAAAUGCGUAGAGAUCGGGAGGAAUACCAGUGGCGAAGGCGGCCUUCUGGACUGACACUGACGCUGAGGUGCGAAAGCGUGGGUAGCAAACAGGAUUAGAUACCCUUGUAGUC